CUACGGGUCGCAGCAGUGGGGAAUAUUGCACAAUGGGCGCAAGCCUGAUGCAGCCAUGCCGCGUGUAUGAAGAAGGCCUUCGGGUUGUAAAGUACUUUCAACGGGGAGGAAGGGAGUAAAGUUAAUACCUUUGCUCAUUGACGUUACCCGCAGAAGAAGCACCGGCUAACUCCGUGCCAGCAGCCGCGGUAAUACGGAGGGUGCAAGCGUUAAUCGGAAUUACUGGGCGUAAAGCGCACGCAGGCGGUUUGUUAAGUCAGAUGUGAAAUCCCCGGGCUCAACCUGGGAACUGCAUCUGAGACUGGCAAGCUUGAGUCUCGUAGAGGGGGGUAGAAUUCCAGGUGUAGCGGUGAAAUGCGUAGAGAUCUGGAGGAAUACCGGUGGCGAAGGCGGCCCCCUGGACGAAGACUGACGCUCAGGUGCGAAAGCGUGGGGAGCAAACAGGAUUAGAUACCCCCGUAGUC
This 464-nucleotide ribosomal RNA is filed under the name uncultured bacterium. RNAcentral describes it as "partial 16S ribosomal RNA". It matches the Rfam family "Bacterial small subunit ribosomal RNA", at positions 339 to 795 of the family's 1533-position model. The record is from RNAcentral.